UGGGGAAUAUUGCACAAUGGGCGCAAGCCUGAUGCAGCCAUGCCGCGUGUGUGAAGAAGGCCUUCGGUUGUAAAGCACUUUCAGCGAGGAGGAAGGUGGUGAGCUUAAUACGCUCAUCAAUUGACGUUACUCGCAGAAGAAGCACCGGCUAACUCCGUGCCAGCAGCCGCGGUAAUACGGAGGGUGCAAGCGUUAAUCGGAAUUACUGGGCGUAAAGCGCACGCAGGCGGUUUGUUAAGUCAGAUGUGAAAUCCCCGGGCUCAACCUGGGAACUGCAUUUGAAACUGCAAGCUAGAGUCUCGUAGAGGGGGUAGAAUUCCAGGUGUAGCGGUGAAAUGCGUAGAGAUCUGGAGGAAUACCGGUGGCGAAGGCGGCCCCCUGGACGAAGACUGACGCUCAGGUGCGAAAGCGU
This 412-nucleotide ribosomal RNA is filed under the name uncultured bacterium. RNAcentral describes it as "partial 16S ribosomal RNA". It matches the Rfam family "Bacterial small subunit ribosomal RNA", at positions 355 to 762 of the family's 1533-position model. The record is from RNAcentral.